GCAAUUUAAAGUUCUCCAUAUCACCGACAGCUUUUUUCCAGGUCUGUUGGUGAAAUAGCAAGUUACUUCGCCAAUCUUUUUCUAUGGUUAAAUAUAGUAAUGACAUAGUACUAUGCAGGUUAAUACUCUUGCUGCAGAAAGAUUGUAUAGCCUUGCUGGUGAUUGGGCUAACCUCAAUUCGGACACGUUACUUUUUGACGUAUGUUGUGGGACUGGAACUAUUGGUCUGACCUUAGCACAUCGUGUUGGAAUGGUGAUUUCUUUUGCCAAUUCAUAUGUUUUUAAGUGUUUGUCAUGUAAUAUAACACAUGGGCCAGAUCUGAGCUCUUAUUAACUUAUGUAGCUUAUUAGAGGAAUCUGUUUUCUUUGGAAUAAUCUUUUCAAAUCUAGUUACUAAUUGUGGCAGGUUGUUGGGAUUGAAAUGAAUGAAUCGGCAGUUUCAGAUGCUCACAGAAAUGCUCUUAUUAACGACAUAAAAAAUUGCCGAUUUGUCUGUGGGAAGGUGAGGCUCAUAUCCCGUACAUGAAAUUACAGAACUUCUCUCAUUUUAAACUACCAUCAUUCUGUUCAGUUCCACUGACCUUUGCUGAAAUAAUCUCAUUUGAGUUCAUAUGUUGGGAUUAAAUAGGCCGAAGAUGUGAUCGGGUCCCUUCUCACAGAAUAUCUUGGUUCACCACAGCAACACAUUGCAGCUUCUGAAAGUAAUUCCAUAAUCAAUGAUACAAGAGAAAAUGAAGAUACAGUUGAUUGCCUAGAAAGCAAUGGUGAAAAUAUGGACAGUUCAACAGAGACAAACAACAAUGGUGAAAGUGAGCAGCCUGGAGACAUGUCAGUUGAUCUUCCCACUUGUGCUGGUGAUGAGGAAAUAAAGGAAGAUUCAAUGGAUAGGGUUAACAAAGAGGUUGAUUCCAGUCAUAAUGAACACAAUGAGGCUGCUGGUGAACAAAAAUGUGGGGAAGCAUCAUUGAUCAAUGAUGAGUGCACUGAUACAACAUUAUCUGAUAGUUUGGAGCCUGGCAGUGGCAAGACAUGCCAGGAUAGUUCUAUUCCAAACAAAAAUGUGCUUGAUUCUAGUGCAUGCAAGUUCAAAAACGUUGUUGCAAUUGUGGACCCCCCACGUGUUGGCCUUCACCCUACUGUAAGUAAAUUUCAACCUUUUGCUGAAAGUCAAUUUCAAAAAAAAAAACCUUUUGCUGAAAGGAUUGUGAUGUUAAUUACUGAAAAAUCUACAUGUUUUUUCCACUGCACAUUCAAAGGCCUGGCUAUCUUAGUGUAUUCCUCCAUAUGCCUUGAAAUUAUUCCUUAAUAAAUCUAAUAAUAGGUCUUGUUAUUUCUCAAAUAUUUUCGUGUUAAUACCUAGCAACUACUAGCUGAUAAAUUUGGAUAGUGAUUGUAUUUGUGUUAUAUAAUUAUGUUUAUUAUACUCACAUCCUGAGCAUCAUUAUAGGUGAUCAAGGCAUUGAGGACUCAUCCACUCAUUCGACGCCUAGUGUAAGUAUUCCUCGUACCAUCUUAUUGAAUAUACAACCGGGUCUGAAAUUCACAGCUUUUCUUCUUUUCUUUAAUUGCAGGUACAUUUCCUGCAAUCCAGAUAGCCUAGUUGCCAAUGCGAUUGAGCUGUGCACCCCAACAUCUGAGAAACAAGAAAAGAACAAAGGCAAUCGAGGGUGGCGAUCUAUGAGUGCUGCUGGUCUUGCUAGGCAGCGGACGAAGUCCAUGCCCAACUCUGAGCCUUUUAUACCCAAGAGGGCGAUGGCCGUGGAUCUGUUUCCUCACACCUCGCACUGUGAGAUGGUUAUGCUUUUUGAGAGGUGAAGGAAUGAAUUGUCUAUCCAUGCAAGGCAGCAUGCCUCAAUUUCUUGUUAGACAUUUUAACCAUGCUGUCGAGGACCACAUCAGUUUUCCUCAGCUUGGUCCUCAUGUUGUAACAUUCUUAGUAACAUCUAUUUGAUUUAGAAGGCAUGGCAUUUGAUGGUUACUGUUUGAGAUCUGCAUUACUUUGAUAGGAUCGGCUACUUCAGAUUCGUUACACAUUUUGUUUCCCUGUUAAAUGGAAGCCACAGGAUUUAAUUUAAGCACCAAAAUGUACCUGCCUCAGCUUUUCUAUGGAUGGUCCAACCUGGAGUGGCAUCCUUUUUCUUUUAGAGGACCAGGAGUGGCAUCCUAGUCAGGGAAAACCGUACAUAAGUACUGGGCCUAUUGUUGGCCCAAUUCCAACUGUGAUUGCACUUAUCUUUUUGUUCAUUGUUCUACCAGUGGGUCUGUUCCUUUUUAUUUGAUCUGACAGGAUUUGAAAGAGAACGACAUGUUCCUACCGAAAUUGCAUCAUCCUAAAUCAUGCCGUCUCAUUUCGAGUAUGACGUGUUAACAAUAGGGUAUUUGACAAUACUAGACCCUUUCAUAUUGGUUCCUAGGAUUAAAUUUCAAUGCCAUUAAGGGAAAAAAAUAUUACCUGUUCUCUUUUCCCGCUACAGUUAAGAGAGGCGAACCGGAGGCGAGCGCUGUUCCGGCGCCAAUCCCUCCGGUUCCCCCUCUUCUCCGGUGGCCGCGUCCGUGCCGGAGAGGGAGGGGAACUGGGGAUUUGGUUGUCCGACUGUAUAGCUCCUAGUCUAGCCUAGAUUUAGAUAGAGUAGCUUAGGGUUUCUGGGAUGUCACCGGCGACCAUGUCUUGCGGACUUGUCUUCCCCAGCGGUGGCAAUGGCGACGGCACUGCUUUGGGUCAAGAUUCAAGGAGGAGGUUUGUGCUUUGGGUCAAGAUUCCGGGUUGGCGAGUUUGUCGGCGGCAGUGGAUUUGCUUUGGGUUGGUUUCCGAUUGGGCUGCUUUGGUGCUCCAUGGCGGCCUGAUGUGAACGGUUCGGUUUCUGUGGUGCUGUUGGUCUCUUCGAAAGUGUCAGAACUGUGUUCCAGAAAGUGUCAGAACUGUGUUCUGGAACACAGGAGGUGGAGAGAAGGGGUUGUUAGAUUGGGAAGCUUGACGGCCGAUGUUCGUUUACUGAGGACUUCUUGCGGCUUAUACCUUUGUGUGUCGGCUUCUUGGUCUGGAUGCGAGGUAACGACGGCGGUGGUGUGUUAUGGAGUGCAGCGAUGCAGUUCGAGGACCGAGCAACAUAAGAAGAAGGGC
RNAcentral lists this long non-coding RNA (3121 nucleotides) under Setaria italica (foxtail millet). RNAcentral's name for it is "long non-coding RNA (SITA_LNC004894)". Lineage: Eukaryota; Viridiplantae; Streptophyta; Magnoliopsida; Poales; Poaceae. The record is from RNAcentral.